Molecule: ribosomal RNA, 385 nt
Filed under: uncultured bacterium
Lineage: Bacteria
Description: bacterial SSU rRNA
Rfam family: Bacterial small subunit ribosomal RNA
Source: RNAcentral
AAUGGGGGAAACCCUGACGCAGCAACGCCGCGUGAGUGAUGAAGGCCUUCGGGUUGUAAAGCUCUGUCUUUUGGGACGAUAAUGACGGUACCAAAGGAGGAAGCCACGGCUAACUACGUGCCAGCAGCCGCGGUAAUACGUAGGUGGCAAGCGUUGUCCGGAAUUACUGGGCGUAAAGAAUGCGUAGGUGGAUAUGCAAGUCAGAUGUGAAAUACCCGGGCUCAACUUGGGUGCUGCAUUUGAAACUAUAUAUCUAGAGUGCAGGAGAGGAAAGCGGAAUUCCUAGUGUAGCGGUGAAAUGCGUAGAGAUUAGGAAGAACACCAGUGGCGAAGGCGGCUCUCUGGACCGAUACUGACGCUGAGACGCGAAAGCGUGGGUAGCAAA